This is a non-coding RNA of Pelobates cultripes (western spadefoot toad), 324 nucleotides long. NCBI's taxonomy places the organism in Eukaryota, Metazoa, Chordata, Amphibia, Anura, Pelobatidae. The record is from the annotation of a GenBank genome assembly.
GAGACAACCAAUCUCACUCCCCAGCGGCAGUGGGAGCUACCGGGAGAGGUCUGCCUCCCCGACCAAAGGGGACCACAGCCAUAACCCCGAUGGUGCAGAUGGGACCGCGGUCUCUGCACCAGACCUACAGGAAUGCUGGACGGCCGAUCCAGAUCCCCAACCAACCCCACAGGAAUCCCUGGAGUAAGAGGUAAGCGAUCCCUCCUCCUCUCAGCCAAUCCACAACCCAGUUCUGGGGGUAGUGCUCGCUGACCCCAUCCCAGCAGAAGAGCUGGCAUCUGGGCAGAGCGCAGGUAGCCUCUGCCCUCCCUUUUCCCCUUGUCC